This 661-nucleotide ribosomal RNA is filed under the name uncultured Eubacteriales bacterium. RNAcentral's name for it is "bacterial SSU rRNA". It matches the Rfam family "Bacterial small subunit ribosomal RNA", at positions 64 to 737 of the family's 1533-position model. Lineage: Bacteria; Bacillati; Bacillota; Clostridia; Eubacteriales. The record is from RNAcentral.
AAACUUUACUGACUUCUUCGGAAAGAUUAAAGCGGAUUAGUGGCGGACGGGUGAGUAACACGUGAGUAACCUGCCUUACACAAGGGGAUAGCCGUUGGAAACGACGAAUAAUACCCUAUGAAACUAUCACUUCGCAUGAAGCGAUAGUCAAAGUGUUAGCGGUGUAAGAUGGACUUGCGUCUGAUUAGCUAGUUGGUGAGAAAAAAGCCCACCAAGGCAACGAUCAGUAGCCGGCUUGAGAGAGUGUACGGCCACAUUGGGACUGAGACACGGCCCAGACUCCUACGGGAGGCAGCAGUGGGGAAUUUUGCACAAUGGGGGAAACCCUGAUGCAGCGACGCCGCGUGAUUUAGAAGGCCCUCGGGUUGUAAAAAUCUUUUGUAUAGGAAGAAAAUGACAGUACUAUACGAAUAAGGUCCGGCUAAUUACGUGCCAGCAGCCGCGGUAAUACGUAAGGACCGAGCGUUGUCCGGAAUCAUUGGGCGUAAAGGGUACGUAGGCGGGUCACUAAGUUAGAAGUCAAAGGCUAUAGCUCAACUAUAGUAAGCUUCUAAAAAUGGAGACCUUGAGUAAUGGAAGGGAAAGUGGAAUUCCUAGUGUAGCGGUGGAAUGCGCAGAUAUUAGGAGGAAUACCGGUGGCGAAGGCGACUUUCUGGCCAUU